Molecule: long non-coding RNA, 1566 nt
Organism: Alosa alosa (allis shad)
Lineage: Eukaryota; Metazoa; Chordata; Actinopteri; Clupeiformes; Clupeidae
Exons: 2
Source: RefSeq, a predicted model, not a curated record
AAUUAUUGAAAUAGAUUAAGAAAGCCACCGCUACGGUGAUUUCUAAUGGUAGAUUGAUUUGUUUAGAUCCAGUGAAAUUGCUGCCUUGGCAACGCUACGUCAUGGCUUCGGGACUCUAUAGCAGAGUGAGAGGAGGGUAGAGGGAUAGAGUGUUGAGUGAAGACUACUGCAUGAGAAAGAGAAGAGCACGAAAGAAGAAAAAGAAAAGAUGACAGCUGGCUACAGUGGUCAGAAUGUUGAAGCCUGCUCUACCUGCAUCUCUGGAACUCUGGGAUAUGGAGUCCUGAAAGACUCAGAAACUGGUGUCCAGCCUGCCUCUGUAGCUGAAGAAAUGGCAAGACUCAAAUGAAUAAAACUCAAAGACGUUUGUUUGCGUUUAGAACUGUUCUGGCGUCGAUGGCAACCAAUGAGAACAAGUGCCAAAAAUGAAAAAACACCUUCUAGACAAACAAAGACAAAACCAUUAAGACACCUUAAGGGUGCUCUUUGGCUCCUGAGACUGAUGGACACACUGCUCGAGCCAAUCGUGGGAGAGUAUGGACAUGACUGCCACGUUGAGGAGCCAAUGGUAUUGGCCGAGCCCAGUGAAAUCUGGACGGCACAAGAACUGAACUGGAUUCAGUUGAAAGCUGAGCAGGGGAAGCCCGAAGAUGGCCCUUGAAUAUAAUGUAGUGUCUGGAUGUAUUUGCAGAAGUGCCUAUUUGUUUGUCAACAGCCUCAUCUUUAGCUAUCCCUGCAGCAUAGCUUCAAAGUAGAACGUGAUAGUGGCUGAUGUGGUGGUCUGUUCUCUCGUGUGUGUGUGUGUGUGUGUGUGUGUGUGUGUGUGUGUGUGUGUGUGUGGUGCGUGCGUGUCUGUAUGUAUGUUUGUAAAUGUUUAUUUUUUAAAUAGAAACACCACCUCAGAUGAAAAAUAUUGCAGUCCAUUCUGUAGUGUUUAUUGUAAAUAAUAUGUGAUGAUGAGUGAAUGAAAGUCAAUGCAACCAGCUAGCCUUACUGCACAUCUGAGCUGUAUUAGAUUAGAUGGACUAGUCUACGGUCCUCUCUCACACCCAGUACACACGUGCUAUACACACAGGGAUGAGCAAAAAAUACAUUAAAAUGUAUUUUCAUAUAAGAUACAAAUAUUUACUUACAGCAACCACAAAAUCAACUAAAGUAUUUUGUAUGUAAAAAUACAAAAAUAUAUUUCCAUGGCAACAUGAUCUCCUAUUUGGUCAUGUUUGACAGCUUUUCACUGUUUAUCAAGAUACAUUACUAAUCUAUUUUGAGAUCCAUCAUAUCAAAAUAGGGAGUAUUCAAGCCAGCCAUGUUCUCAACAAGGCAAAGACAUGCAUAGAAUUUCAUGUCAUCCAAUCAGAGAGAAACAGAAGCUUUUCUAUGCACCCACGCUUUCAAACGAUCAAGUGUCUGCUUCCUUAGCAGACAGACAUUGAUCUUUCACCUGCCACGUGUCUUGCAAGCAUGAGCAAAGUGCUCAGUACGAAUUAUAUUUCCCAAAGAUGCAUGCAGUCGAAUAUGUCACUUUGUAUGUACAAAUACAUGUUGUAAUACAAAUGAUAAAAUACC